GUGUAGCCAAUGGGCAAGAUGCUCUGGAUAAGAUCCGUGCGGGUGCAUCACUGGUUCAACUUUACACAGCUUUCACAUACCAGGGUCCACCUAUUGUGACAAAGAUAAAGCGGGAAUUAGAACAACUUCUUAAAGAUCAAGGCUUCAGCAGCGUGUCAGAGGCAGUUGGUGCAGAUCACAGAAGAGCAGACUCAUAAGCGUAGGUUUUUGAAGGAGGAUAG
Molecule: long non-coding RNA, 221 nt
Organism: Thalassophryne amazonica
Lineage: Eukaryota; Metazoa; Chordata; Actinopteri; Batrachoidiformes; Batrachoididae
Exons: 2
Source: RefSeq, a predicted model, not a curated record